CAUAUUUAAUAAUUUAGAUAUUUAGAAGAUUUGAUUAAGAUUUAGAAUUAUGAUUCUCCUAUCAUCUUUGUUUGAUUUGUUUUUAACUGUUUUGAAUCAUCAUAUAAUACAUAAAGUAAAAAAAAAAUCAUUUUUUUUUCUGCAUAUACUAUGAUUCGAAAUUUUAAAAACGGACAUAUAUUAUCCAAUUGACGAAAAUGUGUGUUCAACGUUCUACAUCGAUUAAAAUAUU
This 232-nucleotide long non-coding RNA is filed under the name Arabidopsis lyrata. RNAcentral's name for it is "long non-coding RNA (ALYR_LNC003319)". The record is from RNAcentral. Lineage: Eukaryota; Viridiplantae; Streptophyta; Magnoliopsida; Brassicales; Brassicaceae.